Long non-coding RNA from Enhydra lutris kenyoni (northern sea otter), 2161 nucleotides. RefSeq lists it as uncharacterized. Lineage: Eukaryota; Metazoa; Chordata; Mammalia; Carnivora; Mustelidae. The record is from RefSeq and is a predicted model, not a curated record. The transcript has 3 exons.
UGCAAGUGGGGCAGGACAGGGCAGAAGAAGAGAGAAUGUGAAGAAGCCUCCAUACCCAGAAGCAACAAGCUGAGUGUCGUCAGAAAGCAGGCGGCUGACAGUCCACUGCCAACGUGACCCUUUCGUCCAGAUGAUUCUUCCAGACUCUCUGGGUAUGACCCAAGCCAGUGGGGUCCCCGAAACUUCUACUGAAUUGCAUAUAUCUGAAAGCACGUUGUACGCACAGACUCAGAGUCAGUUCUUCCAGCUCCCCCAGGAGAGGAAGCGAGGACAAAACAUGGUGCAGAGUCCCUUCAUUCUACAUGGGCCCGUAAAGUACAGACAUGGAGUCAUCUCCAUAGAACACAGGGAAGGAGAAAGGACGCAGGUGGUGAAUAGUGACCUGACCAGUGACGCUCUGACUCUUCAGCUGCAACAUCUGGGCCUGUGCCGGCCGCGAGCACGGCUGCCAGCAAACAGCCCCUCAGGCUGCGGGAUACGGUGGUGCUGCUCUAGGCGGGACCUUGCUCCAGUCUGUGUGCUGUCAGCUGUCCCACUGCCCACCCACAUCCACCCCCACUGAGUCUGAGGACCUUCAGGCCCUGUUGGACACCAUGAGGAUCGUGCCCGCUGAAUGGACUGCUCCCACCUCUUGUCCGUGGCCUCUUGCAUGAACUGGGACCAGGCCAAACCGGUCCCAGGGUCCCCUCUUGGCACCUUAACUGCACACAUAAUUCCAGCGUUCACUUCCGGUCCUCACACAGGCUCAGCCUGCACGCAUCUCCUGUUAAAGGUCUUUCCCGCCACGUGGUUGCUGCAGCAAGAAUCACGAGUCACUGUUGAAUCUUUGGUCCCCCCUGCCCCACAUGGAAUCUGUCAUCCAAGCCUCGCCAGGUCCCCCACCCCGGCCCCAACAUUUUCCCCAUUUCUCUCCUACUCUCUUCUCCACCAUGACCAUGAGUCUGAAAUGCCAUUUCCGACAUGGACCUGGCAGAGUCUCACCAGUCUUGCAGGGUGUUAGGUUCCUGCUGUUGCUCUAACAAAUGAGCACAACCAUAGUGGCUUCACACAACACAAUCUGUGAAUCCUGACGUUUUGUAGAUCAGCAGCCUGACCCAGAAAGAGCCGGAGGGAUUGCCCAAGAUCAUCGCCCCAUUUAAAGGCCAGCCUGUUAACAACCUUAAUUCCCCGUUGCCUUGUCCAGUCACGUAUUCACAGGCUCUGGGGAGCAAGGUGUGCACACCCUUGGGGGUCACUCAUCUGCUCACCACACUUGGCUUCCACUGUCUCCUCUCUCUCGGGCCUUCUCUGCCAGGCAAGCAGAGCGAAACCACUAGAAUAACAUCAUGUAAAUAGGGGCUAGAAGAAAGUGCAUAACAGGGGCUAUGGAAACUUCUGGAAAACAAAUCAGACCACGAAUAAAUAGUCCCUUUAGAUAUUUCUAACUGCAUUUCGAAUAAGACGCAGAGUCUCUCAUGUGGCCCCCAAAGCCCUGCCUGCUGGGCCCCCAGGCUUCAGGCACCCUGGCUGUUCCAGAUUUAAGGGGAAAUGGGUGUGAGUAGAGGGGGUGGGUCUCCCCAUGCUUUCAUUCCUGGAGGUAGAUCCCCCUUCUUGUAAAUGUGUGGUGGGGUCAUGAAGAUUCAUGAAGACUCAAACCUCUGGAUCAUUUUCUCCCUGCAGACUCCCUCCAUGUAGCUCUUUAAUGCUGUGCCUGCCCAACUGGGAUCAUCUGCCCAGAGCGUUCCAACAGAUUUAUGGACUCGGUUCCAACUUCUGUGUAACACGCCUGUGAGCUGUUGAUCCAGCUGUGCCAAAAGGGUGACAGUCUGUGACACACACUUGUCUGAAGUCCCCAUUGUGGGAGGACGGAGGAUCAUAGCUGCAACUAUGAUCCUUUUCUGCUAAAUUAUGAGGGGAGCUUAGAGCCGCAAGUGGUAUUUUUGUUUCUAGGAUUCCAGACACGUCUACAUAACUGAUUACAUAAUUACUUGAGAACUUUGGUUUCAUUAUUUAAAUCGUCAUAGAAUCGACCCACAAGGUUAUAUUAGUUUCCAGUACAACAUAACUGUUUGACGUUUGUACAUAUUGUGAAGUGAUCACCACAGCAAGCCGAGUUAACUGUUCCCACACAUAUCACAAAAUUAAUUUUUCCUGUGAUAAGAACCAUUAAGAUCUACUCUCU